AUCAGCAUGCACUCGUGAAACUACUGCAGAGCUAAUUGCUCUCCAGUCUACACUCUGAGUAUGAAUGCCCAGGCACAACAUCUCAUGCCUCAAAGCCUAAGUAAGAAAGUGCAGGAAUAAGAACCCAAGGGGGACUGGAAACUCCAGGGAUGACUGCAAAAGGGGAAAGUUUUUGCUACAAAGGAAGAAAUUGCCAUGGCUUUGGUCUCCAGUAGCUUUGAAAAAAAACUGAUUCAGUCACAAGCCAAAUGAGGAGCAGGGAAAUGAUUAGGGGCUUAUUUUUAUUUGAAAAUUCAACAUUUACGCAGUGAACUCAAGUGUAACAAAGAAGAAGAUGUAAUUAGAAUUUCACAGUAAAUUUUGAUUAUAGAUUUACUGAUGGAAAACAAUGUUGAUAUGCUGCACUGAAGUGUGGGCUCAAGUGAAGAGGUACAUUACAGCAGAUAAUUUAUUCUCAGUAGUGGAAGCACUUCUGCUCUGGAAUGCCAGUAUGCAAUUGGCAGCUGCCCUGUAGGACUCCAGCCUGUGCUAUUGGUGAUACAGAAGAGCUUUAUGAAGCUCUGCAACAGAGCUUCCACAUGAAAUGAGAGAACUGGAACAAGAGAAAGAAUCCUGAAUUAAUUUCUCCAAUCCCUACAAUAGGAGGCACAGGAUGGUCGGGAAGUACUGGCUACAGGGCUGUUUUUCCUUUGAUAACAGUAGCACUAAAAUAUAUUUGCUUAUGCUAAAGGAGUGUUUUCACUCUGUCCUUCUUGUGUCAGCUUCCAAAUCAGUUAAACAAGCAUUGGUCUUAAAGCAUCAGUAAUUGGGUAUGUAGUUUUUACUACUGUAUGUCUUAACAAGUUCAUCAAAUACUGAGAACAGUUAAGCUGGCAAGAGCCAAAGGCUUGUUACAAGAUUACUCCUUAAGUAAGAAGCUUUCAGAGUCAGAAGGUUCUUGUAUUUAGUGCUAUCAUGCAGCACAGAUAAUGGGGAGUUGUAGUAUUUAUUUGGUUAUCAGUCUUACAGAAAGUGUUGAAAACUACCAAACUUGUGACUUAACUGUCUUUUAAUUUAGUAUUUCUGCAAGUUCUGUAUUUCAGUAAUUAAUUAAAUGCUGGAACUUCCUAGAUGUUUAGUGUCAUGAGAAGAGUUUAACUUAAGCUGAGGUAUUGCAUUGCUAUAGCUUUCCCCUUCCAGUAAAACCUAUCAGGUCACACAUCAAAGAAGAAAAUUAAAUCUUUGAACCAUAGAAUAAGUUGCAAAGGACCUCCAGAGGUCAUUUAAUCCAGCCUCCUGUUCCAAAAGGAUAAGGUUGCUCGUGAUGAUUUGCAGUCAAAUUCUGCAUAUCCUUAAGGAUGGAGAUUCUACAGCCUUUUAGAGUCUCUGUUUGAAUAUUCUCGUGGUAGAAUAGCUUUUUUUUUUUUCUUACAACUUUUUCCCCCAUGUUCCCAUGUUGUAUCUUAAGUUCAUUCCUUUGUGUUCUAGUGCCUCUUGGCAAAGAAUCAUUCAUUUUGUACUGAUAUAAUACCCUCAAGGUCCUUAUAGACAAAUCGUUUGAUAAUUUGGUUUUGUAUCUUUCUGAGGACUAAAUUUAUGAAGUUCAUUUUUUAAUAAGUGAAAUCAGUUAUGCAUAAUUUUUAUUACAGAGAACUUCUUGUCCAUGUAUGUCUAUUAUUAGUCAAGUUCUGAAAAAUUACACCUCUGCCAUAGCUGUUAUACUAGUUAUCCCAAAUUUAUAAUUUACAGCAGAACAGAGGUAAAUUGCCUGCCAUGGUAAGUAUUAGUUUCAUUCAUAUUGUAUCAAUUCUCACAUAAUUUUUUUCAAAUAUUUUCAUUUUUUAAAUUGUUGUGCUUCUAUAAGCAAGGAAGGUCAGCCACAUAAAUAAUCAGUGUGAGAGAGGUUUAGGUAAGAAUCCUAGAAGUAUGUUUUAUAUAUUUUGUAU
This is a non-coding RNA of Taeniopygia guttata (zebra finch), 1925 nucleotides long. Lineage: Eukaryota; Metazoa; Chordata; Aves; Passeriformes; Estrildidae. The record is from RefSeq and is a predicted model, not a curated record.